This 460-nucleotide ribosomal RNA is filed under the name uncultured bacterium. RNAcentral describes it as "partial 16S ribosomal RNA". It matches the Rfam family "Bacterial small subunit ribosomal RNA", at positions 338 to 795 of the family's 1533-position model. The record is from RNAcentral.
CCUACGGGAGGCAGCAGUGAGGAAUAUUGGUCAAUGGGCGCGAGCCUGAACCAGCCAAGUAGCGUGAAGGAUGACUGCCCUACGGGUUGUAAACUUCUUUUAUAAAGGAAUAAAGUGAGGCACGUGUGCCUUUUUGUAUGUACUUUAUGAAUAAGGAUCGGCUAACUCCGUGCCAGCAGCCGCGGUAAUACGGAGGAUCCGAGCGUUAUCCGGAUUUAUUGGGUUUAAAGGGAGCGUAGGUGGGUUGUUAAGUCAGUUGUGAAAGUUUGCGGCUCAACCGGAAAAUUGCAAUUGAUACUGGCAGCCUUGAGUACAGUUGAGGUAAGCGGAAUUCGUGGUGUAGCAGUGAAAUGCGUAGAUAUCACGAAGAACUCCGAUUGCGAAGGCAGCUAACUAAACUGCCACUGACAUUGAUGCUCGAAAGUGUGGGUAUCAAACAGGAUUAGAUACCCCUGUAGUC